CCUUUUCUCCCGGCCGACGGAGCUGAAGGGGCGGGGGUUCCUUCCUUGGAGUGUUUCUAGAGCUCGGAGGCUGCUGGUAGGGGGGCACCACUUUCAGAUAAAAACAUAGACCUGAAUGGCAUCAUCCAGUAUCCAAGGAAACCAUGUUCUCUAAACAUGAAUAUGCCUUUGGGGGAAGACAGAAGAACAUGGAAGCCAUGUGAAAAAAACGGAUCCUAAGGCAGUUUUGAACAUCUGGAGGCCUGAUUUAUUGGAGAUUGCAAAUGUACAGUGUAACAUAGCUGUGGAGAGCGAGAAGAUCAGGAUUGUCAAUGCUGUCAUUGCUUUUACUGGAAUCCCCAGCACGAAUUGAAGGUUUGACCAGAGACAAAGAAGCAAAUGCUAUCAAUUAACAUUCACAUGUGGUAGGUUUCGUCUCUGAAGCAACUGAACGACUCAGAGAAUGGAAGUAGGAUUCACAGAUGGGGUCCGGGGCUUUAAGAAGAGAACAGUCCUUGCACUCCUGGUGGGUGUGACUCAGAGAAGAGUACCACCCUCCACGUUUGCCCCUCUCUCCUCUCAAAAGCCCUAUAGGAAGAUAUUUGAGAGUAUGUGCAUGCAGAAUGCCCCUCCUUUUGAGCCAUUAGCUUUCCAAGAAUUUUUCAGUCCCAUGACCACUUUCUACUUCUCUCACUCUUUCACCUUUUUCUGUUAGUUAUGAGUGUUUUUACUCUCCCAAUACGUUUUACUCUUCUUCCUCCCUCUUUCUUUUCUGCCAUGAGCCACCUCCAUUUUCUUAAUUGAAUAAAAUUGGAACCUGUCAUAUAUUUAGCAUACUCAUUAAAUAAAUGUUACUACCUAAGAAUCAAAUGAA
This 853-nucleotide long non-coding RNA is filed under the name Homo sapiens (human). Its description in RNAcentral is "MEF2C antisense RNA 1". Lineage: Eukaryota; Metazoa; Chordata; Mammalia; Primates; Hominidae. The record is from RNAcentral.